CAAGUAUUAGAGGCAAUGCCUGC
RNAcentral lists this non-coding RNA (23 nucleotides) under Cricetulus griseus (Chinese hamster). The record is from RNAcentral. Lineage: Eukaryota; Metazoa; Chordata; Mammalia; Rodentia; Cricetidae.